This 353-nucleotide long non-coding RNA is filed under the name Selaginella moellendorffii. RNAcentral's name for it is "long non-coding RNA (SMOE_LNC000727)". The record is from RNAcentral. Lineage: Eukaryota; Viridiplantae; Streptophyta; Lycopodiopsida; Selaginellales; Selaginellaceae.
GAGAACAAAGCUUGUAAACUAUUAUCAUUUGACAAUCUCAUGGUUUGAGAGGAAAAAAUACAAAGAACUUCCUAAUUUUCUUUAUUUCGGAGCGAUCCUAGAUUCGAUCGAUUUUACAUUGGAUCAUUUCUUCGUCUCUUUCUCCUGUGCUUUGGCCGGCGGCUUCUGCUGGGCAGAAUGCUACAAAGAAUCAAUCCCCAAAACAGAGAAUUAGGGCUGUGGGUUGGAUGGAGCGCUUACCAGCAGCAAUCCAGCGGCGACCGAGACGCCCAGCACAGCCGAGAAGGCAGCUGCGGUGCCCGUGAGGAGAUUCCACCGUCUGAAGAUCAUCGCUCCCGCGAAGAGCCCUAAAA